UACGUAGGGGGCGAGCGUUGUCCGGAAUCAUUGGGCGUAAAGAGCGUGUAGGCGGCUCGGUAAGUCCGCUGUGAAAGUCCAGGGCUCAACCCUGGAAUGCCGGUGGAAACUGUCGAGCUAGAGUCCGGAAGAGGCGAGUGGAAUUCCUGGUGUAGCGGUGAAAUGCGUAGAUAUCUGGAGGAACACCGGUGGCGAAGGCGGCAUCCUGGACCGGCAUUGACGCUGAGGCGCGAAAGCCAGGGGAGCAAACGGG
RNAcentral lists this ribosomal RNA (253 nucleotides) under uncultured bacterium. RNAcentral's name for it is "partial 16S ribosomal RNA". It matches the Rfam family "Bacterial small subunit ribosomal RNA", at positions 524 to 776 of the family's 1533-position model. The record is from RNAcentral.